This 305-nucleotide ribosomal RNA is filed under the name uncultured bacterium. RNAcentral describes it as "bacterial SSU rRNA". It matches the Rfam family "Bacterial small subunit ribosomal RNA", at positions 337 to 634 of the family's 1533-position model. The record is from RNAcentral.
GCCUACGGGGGGCAGCAGUGGGGAAUAUUGCGCAAUGGGCGAAAGCCUGACGCAGCGACGCCGCGUGAGGGAUGAAGGUCUUCGGAUCGUAAACCUCUGUCAGCAGGGAAGAACGGUCACUGUGCUAAUCAGCAGUGAAUUGACGGUACCUGCAAAGGAAGCACCGGCUAACUCCGUGCCAGCAGCCGCGGUAAUACGGAGGGUGCGAGCGUUAAUCGGACUUACUGGGCGUAAAGCGCUCGUAGGCGGUAUGUCAAGUCAAGGGUGGAAUCACCCCGCUCAACGUGGGGACUGCCUUUGAAACG